RNAcentral lists this ribosomal RNA (495 nucleotides) under uncultured soil bacterium. RNAcentral's name for it is "bacterial SSU rRNA". It matches the Rfam family "Bacterial small subunit ribosomal RNA", at positions 26 to 484 of the family's 1533-position model. The record is from RNAcentral.
AGAUUGAACGCUGGCGGCAGGCCUAACACAUGCAAGUCGAGCGGUAGAGAGGUGCUUGCACCUCUUGAGAGCGGCGGACGGGUGAGUAAUGCCUAGGAAUCUGCCUAGUGGUGGGGGAUAACGUUCGGAAACGGACGCUAAUACCGCAUACGUCCUACGGGAGAAAGCGGGGGACCUUCGGGCCUCGCGCCAUUAGAUGAGCCUAGGUCGGAUUAGCUAGUUGGUGAGGUAAUGGCUCACCAAGGCGACGAUCCGUAACUGGUCUGAGAGGAUGAUCAGUCACACUGGAACUGAGACACGGUCCAGACUCCUACGGGAGGCAGCAGUGGGGAAUAUUGGACUAAGUGGGCGAAAAGCCUGACUCCAGCCAAUGCCGCGUGUGUAGAAGAGGUCGUUCGGAUUAGGUAAAGCUAACGUUUUAAGGUGGAGGUAAGGGUUGUAAACGUUUAAUACGUUGUACUAACUUUGGAACGUUUAACCGACAAGUAAACUUAA